GGGGGGGGGGGGGGGGGUGGGGGGCACGGAUGAAAGUCGAGCCAUCCAUGUACUGCACAGGCAACUUCAGAGAAGAGGCCAAGGGAGGUCUAUUUCACUUCCAUGUUAAACCCUUUUUUUAUCUUUGGAAUUUCCUUGUACAUCAAAUUCAUAGUAUGAACUCCCAAAUCAAAUGGUUUGGUACAUUGCGCUUUUAUUUCACAUACCGUAAAUAUCCUGUCACUUAACAAAAGCUAAUAUAAAUUUGUUAUUACCUAUGUUAUUCUCCGCCGCAUCUACAAGGAAUGGUGUAUAUGUGUAUGAUAAUGUUAAUCACCACCGGAUACUUGUACAUGCUCUUUUAAUAUUUUCUUGUAGUAUAUAAAUAGAAGCAAGAUUUGUGUCUUUCAUGAUUAUGUAUUUUGCUACCAGAGAACCUAAUUACACGCCAGGGUCUUAUAUAAUAGAAAUGAUCUCCAUUAUGAUAACAUUUCCCAAAGUUUAUUUUCUCUAAGUAGAUUUUUUCAUGACAAAUACCUGUACCAAUAAGAGCAUGAUUUCCUCUUCAAUGUGCAAGGAUAUCACAUUUAGAGACUCCCAAAAAUAGUGUUGUGUCAAAGACGAUGUCUGCACGUCUUGGUGAAAGAUCUUCCGCUUUAGUACAAGCCGAGCUUGUGAGGGGAGUUGUUUUGUACAUUUGCUGUACAUGUUGUAUGAUAGAUUAUUGCCAAUAAAUUUGCUGCUACUCAAAUCUCCUUAUUGCCACUAGAGUAAAUUACUUUCAAAGGGCAAGGUUGGGAGCUCAUAGAAUAAUCUAGAAGGGUGGGUUGGGGCUUUUCUAUAUUCUUUUUCAAUAUUUAUUAGGGCCUCCUCGGCGGGUAGACCGGAUAGGGGGUGGGGGAAUCUUACUCUUAUUUGUGGCCUCGCAGACUGGGAGAAGAAAUGGGGGAGGGGCUUUUUCGUUCUUUUAUUUUUAGUAAUGAUAGAUAUCGGAGAUUGGGAGAAGAAAUGGGGAAUGGUCUUUUAUGGCAUCGCAGACGGGGAGAAGAAAGAUGGGCGGGCUGGGCUUUUCCCUACCUUUUUUAAAAUAAAUUAGGGUCCCCCCCACUUAGUCCUAUAGAGGGGUACAGGAUACGUUUCUUUCAACUUGUUUUGCAGGAAAAAAAAUAUAAAUUUUUCAAUUCGCAUGGAUAGGGGGCAUAGUACGCUGAAUUCCCCAUACCCGUUCAACAAUAGAAAAAAAGCCGUUUUGAUAUUAGCCCAAGGGCUAUAGGGGAAAUAAAAAGUUCAAGUUGUUAUAUUAACAACGAAACUUUAAUCCGAAACUAUAUGCGGCUGCGUAUAGUACGGUGAGUACUGGGUAUUCAUGUCUAUAACACCUCCAGCUUCUUUCAAAACACCACUCUAGUGUUUAGUUCCUAAAACGAGAAUAUAAAAGGUUUAUUUCCUGUGAAUACGAGGACAUCCUCCCAAGCGUCCAAUCAGAGCGCGCUUACAAUUAUUACCAUAUUCAAGAAAACUGAAAAUUAGUAAGAAAUUCCUUGUUUGCAUUUCCUGUUCUCAACCCUUUUUUAACCUUUUUUUUUUCAACGUGUUCCGUUAACCAGCGCAGGUAGUCCAGAAGAAUCAAAUGGGAAACAUUCGCGAGAGAACGAGCCAAUCCUGGCGCAGAGGAUCGUUCGCUAUUUCGAUAUCCGGAAUUUGGAUAGAUGAGAACAACAUUCACACUGGCCCCUAUUCCUUUUUCGAAAAUGGAUGUCAAAGAUAAAGAGAGGGUCUCAGCUUUUAAUGGGCGAAUAUUUGAGAAUACAACCAAACCCGUUACCUUUCUACAAAUUCAAAACGAAUUAGAACGAAUAAUAUCUACCGAAAAAAAACACGAAAGUGGGUGAUGGAGGUUAAUGCGUUGAUAAGGAGUAAUGGUUAUACUGCUCCUUUAAACAAUGCAUGCGUGAAUAUUACUAAGGCUUUCCGAGCACAGAACAUAGGCGACGUGAGGACAUCUAGAGCUGCCGUGAAAUAUACUUCAAUUGCUAACAAGAUGGGGACAACUUUGGGCGCUAGAAUGACGGUGUCAAACGCUCAGCACGUUUCAGUUCAGCCGGCAGAAAAUAGCUCUAGGUCACCAAGACUCGAACGAGGUAGCCUAAGAUCGACCCGAAAUACACACGGCAGCAGUAACGAUACGUUAUGCGCUAUUGGCGAAGUCGAGCAACUCCCUGGCGCAAGUAUUGAGGAUGAGCAGAAACGCGCCGUCUUUGUGUGUCGAUGGGCAGCAUGUGAGCAUUCGGAGGGUACAGCGGAUCAAAUUUUUCAUCAUAUCAUAAGGACGCACUUGAAAAACACCACAGACUGGGAGAGCGUGAGAUGCCAGUGGCGGGGGUGCUCGAGAGAUGGAGUACUGCGAGUGAUUAAAGACCGGUAUAAAGUGUUAAUGCACGCUGCUAUCCACUGCCAGAGACUUAAAUAGCAGACGCGCCAGGAAGAUCAACACCCCACCCCUUUAACACAAACAGCCGAGGAUGUUCCUAAACGAAAGUCCACAGGACAGGGUUUUCUGGGUUUGCAGAGGUUUUUCUUCCGGAGGAGAAGAACAAGGGACCAAAAGCCCCAGUAGGGCCAGUAGCGACACACAAUAAAGUCUACAGCGACCAAAUUCCGGCGCACUACAUAUGCUUUUGAGCUGGUGUUCGUAUUUCCCUAGUGUAUGGUUUGAUUUUAAACAAUUUCACGGAUAGUUAAUGCCAUAAAAGGCUUACAGUCGUAGAAAUGACAAUUUCUGUUUGACUAAGCACAGAAAGUUUGUUGCCUUUUUCAAGAGGGGU
Nematostella vectensis (starlet sea anemone) is the source of this 2804-nucleotide long non-coding RNA. RefSeq lists it as uncharacterized. Lineage: Eukaryota; Metazoa; Cnidaria; Anthozoa; Actiniaria; Edwardsiidae. The transcript has 3 exons. The record is from RefSeq and is a predicted model, not a curated record.